This 253-nucleotide ribosomal RNA is filed under the name uncultured bacterium. RNAcentral describes it as "partial 16S ribosomal RNA". It matches the Rfam family "Bacterial small subunit ribosomal RNA", at positions 524 to 776 of the family's 1533-position model. The record is from RNAcentral.
UACGUAGGGUGCAAGCGUUGCCCGGAUUUAUUGGGCGUAAAGAGCUCGUAGGCGGCCUGUCGCGUCGACCGUGAAAACCCGCAGCUCAACUGCGGGCUUGCGGUCGAUACGGGCAGGCUGGAGUUCGGUAGGGGAGACUGGAAUUCCUGGUGUAGCGGUGAAAUGCGCAGAUAUCAGGAGGAACACCGGUGGCGAAGGCGGGUCUCUGGGCCGAUACUGACGCUGAGGAGCGAAAGCGUGGGGAGCGAACAGG